Molecule: long non-coding RNA, 1940 nt
Organism: Aquila chrysaetos chrysaetos
Lineage: Eukaryota; Metazoa; Chordata; Aves; Accipitriformes; Accipitridae
Exons: 4
Source: RefSeq, a predicted model, not a curated record
GCUAGAGAAAAAGGAAGAGAGAACUGAUACCGUCUUGCUCUGCCUCAGGAAAAAAAAAAAAAAAACAACAAACAAACAGGUUCUCUUAACAGUCCCACAAUCCUUCUAGUUAAGCCAGUGGCUAAACAGGACAGCUUCGGCACUCGAGCAAGAGGAAUCAGGCAGGUUUUUUUAAAUUAACUUUUAGGGCCGUAUGAAAGUUCGCGGAAAGACGAAAGGGGAAAGCAUACUUAAUGCCCAGUUCUUACCUGUCUCUCUACUGGUCGGUUCAGAGGGCAGUCCUAGCCUCUCCUUCAGAGACCUGGGGACUUGAACUACAAGAGAGAACAGAAAAAGUUCAGCAGACUGCAUAAAUCUCCAUCUGGUGUUCUCAUAAAUCUCUUUUCGAAAUGAGACCCGUCACUUCACUGCGAUUCAGAGCUACCUUGAGCCCUCAACCAACACGCAAAAAGAACCUUUAGAAGAAAGGACAAACAGCAAACCUAAACAGAAAAUCUGUGCAUCAAAUCCAGAUGUCUGCUUAGUAGCCGUACCUCUCUUAGGUGCUUUGUCAGCACUCUCCAGAGCCUCUGUCUUCUUCCCCAGCCUGUCAGCAAGGUUGCGCUUUAGCGGAAGGACACUUUUACCAGCUUCAGAAAGAGAGAAAACAAGCAACACUUUAAGAACGUUUCUCUGGAGGAGGAUUUUAGAACAGUCAGCCACAAACUUCAAUGCUUCCAGGGAUCUUUUCUUAUAGUUGUCUUUCAGCUGCUAAAGAAAUUUGCCACUUCUGCCGUCAAUACGCAGCUCUGCCAAAAUGUAUUUUCCUCCUGCACGCAGCAAAAAAACCCCUGAAAUAUAGUCACGUUCAGAUGAGGGCACCCGAACAACAGCUCACAAAAAGCUCUUACCUGCGGAGGCUUUCCGUUUUCCCAUCCUCUCGCCAAGAUUCAGUUGAAUCACAGGCUCCUCCCCUAAAACACAGAAGAAUCUCUUCACUGCACAGAAACCAGUAGCCGGUUAGAGCAUUGUCCUUCUGGCCCACGUCCCAGCAAAAGGCACUCUUCGCGUAGCCAAACCACAGAAAACGAGUGACUACCAGUAGCAGUAGUGCCACACGUUUUUUGCCUUUCAAAGGAAUUUGUGCAGAUCUGAACACCACCACUUACACACAGACUCGUAUCACGCUACUGUCCGCAAGCGCCACCGUCAGCCUCGUCAAUGCUUCCAAAAUUGGCCACUUGUAUAAUACCGUCUUCUAUAGGUCUUCCCUUUCAUCACUCCCCAGUUUGUCAGUUAUCCCCUUAUUUCCGUACUGACACUUGUAUUGACAUUAGCCUCUCUCUCUCUGCUGCUGCUGCACUUAACCCAACCGCUACUUCUGCCCCAUGCUGCCGACACAUUAGCUCAUUCACAAAUCUCACUCAACUUCGGGAACAUCAAAGUCCAAUUAAGCACAUUGGAGAGUCUGUAAGAUGCUGUCAUACAUGAUGAGCUACAGCUUAACGUCAGGCUGAUGAAAAACACUGCUGGAUCUUUUGUUGCAACACAACAAACUGAGCACCUACAAAUGCCAAAUAUUUGCAAUCAAACCAGGGCCUUUAAGCAUAAAAGCAUGGCUUUAAUUAGAAAAGGCAGCACCAGCAGGCUAACGUGUCUGAAUGAUCUUAAUUAUUACUUAACCUUUCGGUUGAGGAGCCAUGAAAUGGAAACAAUAGUAUUCGCUAAAGUAAGGGAUAUUAACUCACCACCUUGGUUUUUUGUUUUUUCCUUUAGUUUCUCCAAUUUGAUUUCUUCAAGUGUUUUUAUUCCAAAAUUUAAGUUCUCCUCUGAAAACAGAAAAUGCUUAAUGAAGCUGAGGCUUAAAGGCACAUCUUGAAGAGCACACAUCCUCAAGCUGCUUACAGCUCAGAACCCUUCCAAAGUCUUCCAAAUCAACCCUCUCAACACUCCCCACAAGU